AGUGGGAUAGCUGGGUCAAACAGUAGUUCCAUAUUAAGUUUUCUAAGGAAUCUCCAUACUGCUUUCCAGAGUGCUUGCAACAAUUUGCAGUCCCACCAGCAAU
This 103-nucleotide microRNA precursor is filed under the name Marmota monax (woodchuck). The record is from RNAcentral. Lineage: Eukaryota; Metazoa; Chordata; Mammalia; Rodentia; Sciuridae.